GAUGAACGCUGGCGGCGUGCUUAACACAUGCAAGUCGAACGAAGCACCUUAUUCUGAUUUCUUCGGAAUGAAAAAUUUGGUGACUGAGUGGCGGACGGGUGAGUAACGCGUGGGUAACCUGCCUCAUACAGGGGGAUAACAGUUAGAAAUGACUGCUAAUACCGCAUAAGACCACAGUACCGCAUGGUAGAGGGGUAAAAACUCCGGUGGUAUGAGAUGGACCCGCGUCUGAUUAGGUAGUUGGUGGGGUAACGGCCUACCAAGCCGACGAUCAGUAGCCGACCUGAGAGGGUGACCGGCCACAUUGGGACUGAGACACGGCCCAAACUCCUACGGGAGGCAGCAGUGGGGAAUAUUGCACAAUGGGGGAAACCCUGAUGCAGCGACGCCGCGUGAGCGAUGAAGUAUUUCGGUAUGUAAAGCUCUAUCAGCAGGGAAGAAAAUGACGGUACCUGACUAGGAAGCACCGGCUAAAUACGUGCCAGCCGCCGCAGUAA
This 497-nucleotide ribosomal RNA is filed under the name uncultured bacterium. RNAcentral's name for it is "partial 16S ribosomal RNA". It matches the Rfam family "Bacterial small subunit ribosomal RNA", at positions 28 to 523 of the family's 1533-position model. The record is from RNAcentral.